RNAcentral lists this non-coding RNA (174 nucleotides) under Marchantia polymorpha subsp. ruderalis. RNAcentral describes it as "Eukaryotic large subunit ribosomal RNA". It matches the Rfam family "Eukaryotic large subunit ribosomal RNA", at positions 2621 to 2802 of the family's 3401-position model. The record is from Rfam by way of RNAcentral. Lineage: Eukaryota; Viridiplantae; Streptophyta; Marchantiopsida; Marchantiales; Marchantiaceae.
UUUGUGCUUGAAUUUCAAUAAUCUUUAAAAUGUUGAACAAAAUUUUAAACGAGAACAUAAAUCUUGUGUAGAACAAAAUUAUAAAAGCACAUUUGAUUUUGAUUUUCGGUACGAAUACAAAUUGUGAAAGCAUGACUUAUUGAUCCUUUAGUCUUUUAAAAUUUGAAGCUAGAG